This 477-nucleotide ribosomal RNA is filed under the name uncultured Glomeromycotina. RNAcentral describes it as "SSU rRNA". It matches the Rfam family "Eukaryotic small subunit ribosomal RNA", at positions 712 to 1187 of the family's 1831-position model. Lineage: Eukaryota; Fungi; Glomeromycota. The record is from RNAcentral.
CAUGAUGUCAUUUAUUUGGUGUUGUGGGAAAUUAGGACUGUUACCUUGAAAAAAUUAGAGUGUUUAAAGCAGGCUAACGCUUGAAUACAUUAGCAUGGAAUAAUGAAAUAGGACAUCCGAUUCUAUUUUGUUGGUUUCUAGGAUCGAUGUAAUGAUUAAUAGGGAUAGUUGGGGGCAUUAGUAUUCAAUUGUCAGAGGUGAAAUUCUUGGAUUUAUUGAAGACUAACUACUGCGAAAGCAUUUGCCAAGGAUGUUUUCAUUAAUCAAGAACGAAAGUUAGGGGAUCGAAGACGAUCAGAUACCGUCGUAGUCUUAACCAUAAACUAUGCCGACUAGGGAUCGGAUGAUGCUUAUUUUUCAAUGACUCAUUCGGCACCUUACGGGAAACCAAAGUGUUUGGGUUCCGGGGGGAGUAUGGUCGCAAGGCUGAAACUUAAAGGAAUUGACGGAAGGGCACCACCAGGGGUGGAGCCUGCG